This 433-nucleotide ribosomal RNA is filed under the name uncultured bacterium. RNAcentral describes it as "partial 16S ribosomal RNA". It matches the Rfam family "Bacterial small subunit ribosomal RNA", at positions 29 to 507 of the family's 1533-position model. The record is from RNAcentral.
AACGAACGCUGGCGGCAGGCCUAACACAUGCAAGUCGAGCGAGGACUUCGGUUCUAGCGGCGGACGGGUGAGUAACGCGUGGGAAUGUGCCCUUCUCUACGGAAUAGCCCUGGGAAACUGGGAGUAAUACCGUAUACGCCCUAUUGGGGAAAGAUUUAUCGGAGAAGGAUCAGCCCGCGUUGGAUUAGGUAGUUGGUGGGGUAAUGGCCUACCAAGCCGACGAUCCAUAGCUGGUUGGAGAGGAUGAUCAGCCACACUGGGACUGAGACACGGCCCAGACUCCUACGGGAGGCAGCAGUGGGGAAUCUUAGACAAUGGGGGCAACCCUGAUCUAGCCAUGCCGCGUGAGUGAUGAAGGCCUUAGGGUUGUAAAGCUCUUUCAGCUGGGAAGAUAAUGACGGUACCAGCAGAAGAAGCCCCGGCUAACUCCGUG